Molecule: ribosomal RNA, 229 nt
Filed under: uncultured bacterium
Lineage: Bacteria
Description: partial 16S ribosomal RNA
Rfam family: Bacterial small subunit ribosomal RNA
Source: RNAcentral
UCGCCGGGUAAAAUCCGUAGAGAUCAGAAGGAAUACCGAUUGCGAAGGCGAUCUACUGGAACAAUAUUGACGCUGAGACGCGAAAGCGUGGGGAGCAAACAGGAUUAGAUACCCUGGUAGUCCACGCCCUAAACGAUGUACACUAGUUGUUGUGAGGCUCGACCUUGCAGUAAUGCAGUUAACACAUUAAGUGUACCGCCUGGGGAGUACGGUCGCAAGAUUAAAACUC